CAUGCAAGUCGUGCGAGAAAGUAUCUUCGGAUAUGAGUAGAGCGGCGGACGGGUGAGUAACGCGUAGGAAUCUACCUAGUAGAAGGGGAUAGCCCGGGGAAACCCGGAUUAAUACCGUAUACCUCCUUCGGGAGAAAGAAGGCCUCUCUUUGAAGCUUUCGCUACUAGAUGAGCCUGCGUAAGAUUAGCUUGUUGGUGAGGUAAAGGCUCACCAAGGCUACGAUCUUUAGCGGGUCUGAGAGGGCGAUCAGCCACAUUGGGACUGAGACACGGCCCAGACUCCUACGGGAGGCAGCAGUGGGGAAUAUUGGACAAUGGGCGCAAGCCUGAUCCAGCCAUACCGCGUGUGUGAAGAAGGCCUUCGGGUUGUAAAGCACUUUAAGCAGGGAGAAAAAGUUAUAAGUUAAUACCUUAUAACCCUGAUGUUACCUGCAGAAUAAGCACCGGCUAAUUCCGUGCCAGCAGCCGCGGUAAUACGGAAGGUGCAAGCGUUAAUCGGAAUUACUGGGCGUAAAGCGCGCGUAGGUGGUUUGUUAAGUUGGAUGUGAAAGCCCUGGGCUCAACCUAGGAACUGCAUCCAAAACUAACUCACUAGAGUACGAUAGAGGGAGGUAGAAUUCAUAGUGUAGCGGUGGAAUGCGUAGAUAUUAUGAAGAAUACCAGUGGCGAAGGCGGCCUCCUGGAUCUGUACUGACA
Molecule: ribosomal RNA, 696 nt
Filed under: uncultured bacterium
Lineage: Bacteria
Description: bacterial SSU rRNA
Rfam family: Bacterial small subunit ribosomal RNA
Source: RNAcentral